Molecule: ribosomal RNA, 839 nt
Filed under: uncultured Actinomycetales bacterium
Lineage: Bacteria; Bacillati; Actinomycetota; Actinomycetes; Actinomycetales
Description: bacterial SSU rRNA
Rfam family: Bacterial small subunit ribosomal RNA
Source: RNAcentral
GGCGUGCUUACACAUGCAAGGCGAGGGGUGAAGCACCUUCGGGUGUGAAUUAGCGGCGAACGGGUGAGGAACACGUGAAGAAUCUGCCUUCAACUCUGGGAUACUCCGGGAAACCGGGGCUAAUACCGGAUAUGAGCCUUGAUCGCAUGAUCGGGGCUGGAAAGUUUUUCGGUUGAAGAUGACUUCGCGGCCUAUCANCUUGUUGGUGAGGUAAUGGCUCACCAAGGCGACGACGGGUAGCCGGCCUGAGAGGGCGACCGGCCACACUGGGACUGAGACACGGCCCAGACUCCUACGGGAGGCAGCAGUGGGGAAUAUUGGGCAAUGGAGGAAACUCUGACCCAGCGACGCCGCGUGAGGGAUGAAGGCCUUCGGGUUGUAAACCUCUUUCAGUAGGGAAGAAGCGAAAGUGACGGUACCUACAGAAGAAGCACCGGCUAACUAUGUGCCAGCAGCCGCGGUAAUACAUAGGGUGCAAGCGUUGUCCGGAAUUAUUGGGCGUAAAGAGCUCGUAGGUGGUUCGAUACGUCGGAUGUGAAAAUCAGGGGCUCAACCCCUGACCUGCAUCCGAUACGGUCGAGCUAGAGUUUGGUAGGGGAGACUGGAAUUCCUGGUGUAGCGGUGGAAUGCGCAGAUAUCAGGAGGAACACCGAUGGCGAAGGCAGGUCUCUGGGCCAAUACUGACACUGAGGAGCGAAAGCGUGGGGAGCGAACAGGAUUAGAUACCCUGGUAGUCCACGCCGUAAACGGUGGGCACUAGUUGUGGGAACCUUCCACGGUUUCCGCGACGCAGCAAACGCAUUAAGUGCCCCGCCUGGGGAGUACGAUCGCAAGAUUAA